GUAAGAAAUAACAGUGCAAUUCUCCUUUGGCAAAUGAAUAUAUGCAAACCCUAUAUAUAUAUAUGUUUUGCAUGGCAUUAUAUUAUCUUUGCCAAAGGAGAAUUGCCCUGUCAUUCUUGU
This is a non-coding RNA of Solanum tuberosum (potato), 120 nucleotides long. Lineage: Eukaryota; Viridiplantae; Streptophyta; Magnoliopsida; Solanales; Solanaceae. The record is from Rfam.